This 433-nucleotide ribosomal RNA is filed under the name uncultured Porphyromonadaceae bacterium. RNAcentral describes it as "bacterial SSU rRNA". It matches the Rfam family "Bacterial small subunit ribosomal RNA", at positions 341 to 792 of the family's 1533-position model. The record is from RNAcentral. Lineage: Bacteria; Pseudomonadati; Bacteroidota; Bacteroidia; Bacteroidales; Porphyromonadaceae.
ACGGAAGGCAGCAGUGGGGAAUAUUGGGCAAUGGGCGCAAGCCUGACCCAGCAAUGCCGCGUGAAGGAAGAAGGCUUUCGGGUUGUAAACUUCUUUUAAGUGGGACGACAAUGACGGUACCACUUGAAUAAGCUCCGGCUAACUACGUGCCAGCAGCCGCGGUAAUACGGAGGAUGCGAGCGUUAUCCGGAUUUAUUGGGUUUAAAGGGUGCGUAGGCGGGAUGUUAAGUCAGCGGUGAAAGCGUGUAGCUCAACUAUACCAAGCCGUUGAAACUGGCGUUCUUGAGUGUAAACGAGGUAGGCGGAAUGUGACGUGUAGCGGUGAAAUGCUUAGAUAUGUCACAGAACCCCGAUUGCGAAGGCAGCUUACCAGCAUACAACUGACGCUGAGGCACGAAAGUGCGGGGAUCAAACAGGAUUAGAUACCCUGGUA